UAUGGACGUUUUAAGGUCGAAAGGUCAGUGGGCUAGGCCCAACUCGGGAUCAACCGAGUUGGCCCAAAAAAAAUAAAAACGAAUUAAGGCCCAAAGAGAGAAGGGUGGCCGGCCAAGCCUAAGGCCCAAACCAUGAUUCUAAUAUUUCCCAUGUGCUAAAAUGAAUAUAAGGGUCAUUUAUCCAUUAGAAAGUUCUUGAAACAUAGAAGAGAAAAACAAAGCAACAAGAAGAGCAAAUUAGAAGGCCAUACACGGCCAUGACCCAAGAAAAUUCACCCCUUAAAAUCUUCUCCCAAAAAUUAUUUUCUUGUGGUAUUCCUACUAAUUCAAGGGUCCUUUACAACUUGGUGUAAUUAUUUUGGAAGAAAGAGCACUUGUUUCUUCAAGUUGACAACUUGGUCAAGUGAAAAAGAUUGUAGAAAAAGAUUUUGGCGAACUUGAAACUUGAUUUUGGAGACGUGUAUGAAGCGGAAAAGGUCAGCAGACAGGUGGACGUGAUCCUUAGAAGCUCUACCAGCCGUACUUGACAGCGCUCCAGUUGUUCCGGAGCCUCACUCCAGCGGUACUAUUUUAUGCAUAUACAUUCGGGCUUGGUAGCACCCCGGCCCUUUCUAUGUAUAAGUGUACUAUGUCUAGAGGCUCGUAGACAGAUACGUACAGUCAGUCAGGUACAGAUAUAUGUAUAGUGUUUUGGCAUGUUAAUAUUGUUGUACAAGGUAAUAA
Molecule: long non-coding RNA, 723 nt
Organism: Lycium barbarum (goji berry)
Lineage: Eukaryota; Viridiplantae; Streptophyta; Magnoliopsida; Solanales; Solanaceae
Exons: 3
Source: RefSeq, a predicted model, not a curated record